CGCUGAAAUUGCAAAAUCAGCCUAAUUUAUUUAUUCAUGGACAAGAAAUUGAAAUAUAUAAUUCGCAAAAAAAAACAAAAAAAAAAGGAGCAUUUUGUGAAGAUGUAGCUGAUGGAGUUAGCCAAAUAAUUGGAGAAGAUGUUUUAGUAGAUCAAUUGAGAAAAGACGUUAUAAAUCCUUUUAUUAAUAAAAAUAACGAAAAAAAAAAAAAAAACUUUUCUCCAACACUGCAACUUUCGUUUCCGUCACAAAUAAAAACCAGUAACAUUGGUAGUAUUGGUCCACCAGUUAUCAUAUUAAUACAUGGAGAAAGUGGGACAGGUAAAACGUAUAUAUCAAAAAAAAUAAUCGAGGAAUGUAAAUAUAACAGCUUAAUUAUUAACUGUUCUACCAUAUUUCAUAAAAUUAUGGGAGAGUCAGAAAAAGUAAUCAAUCAAAUAUUUUAUAUAGCUAAAAAUAAACUACAACCAUGUAUUAUUUUAUUCGAUGAUAUAGAUAUUAUAUGUUUCAAUGAAAAUAAUUAUUUUGGUAGUAUUAAUAAAUUUGCUAUGAGACUAAAAAUGUGUUUUUAUGAAAAUAUUGAUAAACUGUAUUUUGACAAAAAAUGGAACUGCGCUGUCACCACCACCAACAAUACAAACAACCAUAAUUCAAUGUUCAUUAUAGCCACUACAAAUAAUAUUAAAAAUGUCGACACAAAUUUAUUAACAAAUUAUAGAAUAAAUCAUAUUUAUCAAACCACUCCAUUUAGAAAUUGGAAAAACUAUGAUAUAUAUAAACUUUUUGAAAAAUAUUUAAUAGCAAAUAAUAUUAAAUCAUAUAAUUUUAUAUAUUCUAAUGAGUUCAAAAACUUUAUAACAAAUUAUAUUUUUAAAAAAAAGGAAACGUUAUCACCCAUGUAUGUCUCACAUUUGUUAACUACGGCAUUGUCCCACUAUAUAAAACGGACUGUUCUGAAUGCAAAUGAACAAGAUAAUGAAAUAACAGUUAGGGAUUUCAUCGAGGCUAUAAAAAUUAUGUCAUAAGAAAAAAAAAAAAAUUUUCCAUAUAUAUGCGUGUAUAUAUAUGUGUACUACCAUUGCUAGACUUACGUUUAUUUUUGUAUAAAUUUAUUAAAAAAAGUAACAGUUAAGAAAAUAAAAAAAAUAAAUAAAAUAAUAAUAAUAAUAAA
Molecule: long non-coding RNA, 1171 nt
Filed under: Piliocolobus tephrosceles (Ugandan red Colobus)
Lineage: Eukaryota; Metazoa; Chordata; Mammalia; Primates; Cercopithecidae
Description: lncRNA (ENSPTEG00000001754.1)
Source: RNAcentral